Molecule: ribosomal RNA, 119 nt
Filed under: Triticum dicoccoides
Lineage: Eukaryota; Viridiplantae; Streptophyta; Magnoliopsida; Poales; Poaceae
Source: RNAcentral
GGAUGCGAUCAUACCAGCAGUAAAGCACAGGAUCUCAUUAGAACUCCGAACUUAAGCAUGCUUGGGCGAGAGUAGUACUAGGAUGGGUGACCUCCUGGGAAGUCCUCGUGUUGCAUUCC